AAUUAAUCAGUGAAACAACUUGCCUCCAGAAGUUGUGGAUGCUUCAACAUCAGAAGUUUUGAAGGAGAGAUUGGACAACCAUUUGUCUGAAAUGGCAUAAGGUUUCCUGCUUAAGCAGGGGGAGGGACUAGAAGACCUCCAAGGUCCCUUCCAACACUGUUAUUCUGUUAAAUUGUGUGCAAGGAGCCCAUUCUAAGAAGACGAUAGUACCAGCAUCAAGAAUCAGAUAGGAUCAGUAGAAAAACUAAAAUUGAUUUCAUGUGGAAUUUUAAUUAAAAUAAAAUUAAAUACUUUUCAGACAAUGGCUCUUUUGUUUGACCCUUUCUGUCACAUUUUGUUCAACCCUUUCUGUCAUAUUAACCAUUAAAAAAAUUUAGUCACAACUUUGGAAAUGCUCUAAGGCAGCGGUCUCCAACCUUGGCAAAUUGAAGACUUGUGGACUUCAACUCCCAGAAUUCCUCAGCUAGCAAAGCUCAAGGUUUGGGGGACAAACUGUGAUACUAGGCACCCAGGUUGUGCUUCACUGCUACAAAGCUUUAUCUGAAAGGGAUCUAACUGCUCUUAACUGAUUAUGAAAAAGCUAAAUAGAGUCAGAUCCAUCCAGUACUUUGAUGGGAGAACUUUUGGAACAGCCAGAGCUGUAAGCUGGUCUGAAAAGCUGAAAACACCCACACAAGCAUACAUAUCCAGGGGAAAAAAGCAAACCACUUUCAUAUUGUUGCCAAGAUAAAUGAUAUGAAUUUGUUCAUGAACUCUUUUGAGACGCGAAUUAAACUCAAAACAGACUACCUUUUUAUUGUAUCAGGUAGCAAUGCCUUUCAAAAACAGAUCAAAUCUGGUCUAUCAAGGACAAUUAAAUUAGAGGAAUGGGUCCUCCUAAAAUAUAGUGGAUUUGUUUGUUUUUCUUAACUAUGGUGACAACAUUAUUCCUUCCUACUUUUUGCACCUUUACCCUACAGGUUACAUAGCAGGGUCUCAGACCUGCUCUAUGUCAAAUUCUGCUGACAUUUCAAGCAACUCAAAGUUGUCCCAUUUUCAACUUUGCAUGACUGAAAUGAGUCAUUGCUAUUACAGUUUGGGUUUUUUUGCGGGGGUGGGUGGGAGGGAGUGAAGAUCAUAUUACUGUUCUCCGCUUUGCAAAUGCUGGCUCUCCAUGUUUGUUCUUUGAAGAGUAUUUCAUGCAUUAUAUUUCAUCGGUGUACAACACAAAUGAUUAAAUACUGACCUAAAAGUCAUGAGGCUGACAAACCAUUGGUCUCACAAAGCACAUUUACAAAUGUAGGCCUGGCUGUAUUCAGGGAAGGGAAGUCUUAGGGUCCAGACCUCUAGAAAAAUAAGGUUCUUUCCCCUUGAUUUCAGUCUUCGUAAAGUCUGUUCAAUUGCUUUACAAAUAGAGUUAUAUUUUUUUAAUCAGCAGAUGAUUCAAGGCAGGGCAGAAAGAGGGUAUACAAAUUCAUAGAAUAUCUUAAUAUUCUACACCCCUUCCACCAUAAAAUAUAUUCUAAUACACAGUGAAGAAAGAAAAAAAGAUUAAUCCGUUGAACUUCAACCUUCCCUCCUCUUGAAAGAUAUUUUAAAACAAACAAACAGCAAAAGCUAGCAGGAAAAGAUCAUCUAUUAAUCGUGUCUUUUCAAAUAUUUUAAAGAUGUGUUUUAAAAUAUGGGUUGUUUUUCUUUUUUGAGAUAGUAGAUAUCAGGUAUUUGAGGGGAUAACAAUCAGCUUUGGCAUUCUUUCCUUGUAUCCAAAUCAGGAUGAUGGAACUGUAGAGUCAAAACACCAAUCCUGUUUAUUUUUGGACAACAUAGCAUGAAGAAAAUUAGCAUCUAUAUUAUAACUUGCUCAAUAAGACCCCUAACUUCUUCCAUGCCUACUCUUAAUGCUCAUCCUUAAGAGUGUAGACAUAUUGAUGAGAAGCCCAUAUAUUUUGAUGUGCUUGUAUUAUCUCAAAAGAGCUUCUGAAUACCCAGAGAUUACUGAAUCUUUUCUUAUAAAAUACUCCGUUGCAGAUUGUUACAGAAUAUGAUUGACUCCAGUCUGAUUCUAAUGCUAAAUCUGAUCCAAUUCAGUGAUUCAGCUUGAUUCAGAAAAUGAAGCUGGAUGGGGUUUUCCAGCUCAAUCCGAAAACCGAUUCAGUGAUUUGGUCCUAUUGCAAGGCACUAAUGAAACAUUCAUAGCAACUGAUACCUGUGAAAAGAAGCAGAAACAAGCCCUAACAGAUGGACAAUUGAAUUGUUCCCACAAGAGAAUCAAUCAACCACCCUACUUUUCAAACAAUGGAAUAGUUGAAGAAAGAGAGCAAUGUUGGUUUAUGGUAGCCAAAAAUCAGACAGAGUGGGUAGCAUCCUUCUAGAAUAGAUGGAGACAAUAAAAAGCAUAAACCUUCGAAUAAAAUCUAUUAGUCUGAAAAGAUGCUAUCUGAUCAGUGAGAUAAGACUGUUCUCUAAAGUAUCCUAGAUAAGCAUGUACUCAUAACAUGCAGACACAAAUCUAAAUAAAAUCUCAGUAUGAAACUGACACAAUUGAAAAUGCACAAGCAGAGGCACAGAUGUAUUGACAUAAGAGAAUAAAGUGCAGGAAGUCUAGCAUUCAAGCAAAACAUCCAUUCAUCUAGAGUUCCCCAUUCUUAGCCUACACUUGUAUCUUGGUUUUCUACUGGUCUAUUCCAUCUGCUCAUUUCUAGUGAAGUUCUAUGUAGACGUAUUUCAUUUUCUCUCAAUGGCGAUAAAAAUCCGCAGCUGGCAAAACAAACAAACACAUGAUUUUUUUUGCAAUACUGAAACCAUUUUAGAGCUUAAGACUAUUUUAAAAAAUACUGGCACAAAAUUUAAUAAAAUACAAAUUCUUUUAAACAUUUUCUUUAAACAAAAAAAAAAAGAGGUGGGUUUUUUGGUUCCCCCCACCCACCCUGACAAACAGAAGAACAGAGACCUGUCUUAUGAAAUGCAAAAAUUAUCUGAGAUCACAGUACUUGAUUAUUCAGAUAUAUUUUCCUUCUAAAACAGGAUGGUUUGCCACUUAAGACUGCUCUCCAUCAGUUAAAGACAGCAUUGUCUUACAAACACACCGAUUGUCAGUUUUUAAAACCAGGAAGAAAGGGGCAUUAAUAUGAAUUCAUUAAGUAGAUGUAACAAAACGUCACAUUUCCUGACUUCUAAAAUCCCAGCUGCAAAUACAACUCCAAGAAGAUG
Molecule: non-coding RNA, 3189 nt
Organism: Pseudonaja textilis
Lineage: Eukaryota; Metazoa; Chordata; Lepidosauria; Squamata; Elapidae
Source: RefSeq, a predicted model, not a curated record